CAUCGAUGAAGAACGCAGCGAAAUGCGAUAAGUAAUGUGAAUUGCAGAAUUCAGUGAAUCAUCGAAUCUUUGAACGCACAUUGCGCCCCCUGGUAUUCCGGGGGGCAUGCCUGUUCGAGCGUCAUUUCACCACUCAAGCCUCGCUUGGUAUUGGGCGACGCGGUCCGCCGCGCGCCUCAAAUCGACCGGCUGGGUCUUUCGUCCCCUCAGCGUUGUGGAAACUAUUCGCUAAAGGGUGCCGCGGGAGGCCACGCCGUAAAACAACCCCAUUUCUAAGGUUGACCUCGGAUCAGGUAGGGAUACCCGCUGAACUUAAGCAUAUCAAUAA
This 328-nucleotide ribosomal RNA is filed under the name Cladosporium sphaerospermum. RNAcentral's name for it is "eukaryotic LSU rRNA". The stretch from base 1 to 124 matches the Rfam family "5.8S ribosomal RNA", at positions 31 to 154 of the family's 154-position model. Lineage: Eukaryota; Fungi; Ascomycota; Dothideomycetes; Cladosporiales; Cladosporiaceae. The record is from RNAcentral.